This 251-nucleotide ribosomal RNA is filed under the name uncultured Actinomycetales bacterium. RNAcentral's name for it is "partial 16S ribosomal RNA". It matches the Rfam family "Bacterial small subunit ribosomal RNA", at positions 82 to 334 of the family's 1533-position model. Lineage: Bacteria; Bacillati; Actinomycetota; Actinomycetes; Actinomycetales. The record is from RNAcentral.
UUGGGGUGCUCGAGUGGCGAACGGGUGAGUAACACGUGAGUAACCUGCCCUUGACUUUGGGAUAACUUCAGGGAACUGGGGCUAAUACCGGAUAGGAGCUCCUGCUGCAUGGUGGGGGUUGGAAAGUUUCGGCGGUUGGGGAUGGACUCGCGGCUUAUCAGCUUGUUGGUGGGGUAGUGGCUUACCAAGGCUUUGACGGGUAGCCGGCCUGAGAGGGUGACCGGCCACAUUGGGACUGAGAUACGGCCCAG